Molecule: unclassified non-coding RNA, 308 nt
Filed under: uncultured fungus
Lineage: Eukaryota; Fungi
Description: partial contains 5.8S ribosomal RNA, internal transcribed spacer 2, and large subunit ribosomal RNA
Rfam family: 5.8S ribosomal RNA (bases 1-52)
Source: RNAcentral
AACGCACCUUGCGCUCCUUGGUAUUCCGAGGAGCAUGCCUGUUUGAGUGUCAUUAAAUUCUCAACCCAUCCAGCUUUGUAAAUGAGUUGGUGUGUGGCUUGGAUAUUGGGGGUUUUUGCAGGUCUUGAAAAAAGAUCAGCUCCCCUUAAAUGCAUUAGCGGAACGGUUUGCGAUCUGUCACUGGUGUGAUAAUUAUCUACGCCAAAGAUGAACGCUCUCUGUCUGUUCAGCUUAUAAUAGUCCCAUUUUGUGGACAACUUAUUUGAAUAUUUGACCUCAAAUCAGGUAGGACUACCCGCUGAACUUAA